CACACGUAUAUAUAACCUCCACUCCGCAGUUUCUGGUGUCAAAUAGUAGGUCCUGGGAUCAUUAAACGGACCGCGUUAGUAGGGUGAUACUAGCUUUUGGACGCGGUGUCCUUUUCGAUCAGUCGGCUGAUAAAAGGCAGUGUGAGAGGAUGGCUAUGUUCUCAAUGUGGUUGCUCCCGAUCUGUCUCUGGCUGGUUCUUUGCAACGCGGGUGAUCAUGUGAAUUGCGCUGAACAUCGACCAGUAGCGCAAACGCUCUCAACAGCUGUAGGACUUCCACCGUCCUCCAAUCAGGUACUUAUAAAACUCAACAGAUAGUAUUCGAUACAUCGCAGAUGUGAGAUUGUAUCGAUAUCGAUCGGUUCAACAUGUAAAAAUAGCCUCAAAAGUCAAUUUACAAAUCUGAGGGAACGGAUCUUUUGUGAUAGAAUUUUCAUUCUUUUGAGUAUCAAAUGCCAAUGAAAAGUGAAACUGUUAAGAAUUUUCUCAUUCUCAGUUUUUCCAACUUAAAUCCUAAAAUUUUUGUUUGAGGUUAUGUUUAAUUGUUGGUUGAACCAAACGAUACUUCGAACCAUUA
This 576-nucleotide long non-coding RNA is filed under the name Bemisia tabaci. Its description in RNAcentral is "lncRNA ENSSSA1UGG006194". Lineage: Eukaryota; Metazoa; Arthropoda; Insecta; Hemiptera; Aleyrodidae. The record is from RNAcentral.